This 501-nucleotide ribosomal RNA is filed under the name uncultured bacterium. RNAcentral's name for it is "bacterial SSU rRNA". It matches the Rfam family "Bacterial small subunit ribosomal RNA", at positions 62 to 543 of the family's 1533-position model. The record is from RNAcentral.
UCGUGCGCGAAGGUGGCUUCGGCCACCGGAGAGCGGCGAACGGGUGCGUAACACGUGGGUGAUCUGCCUGGGAGCGGGGGAUAACCUGGGGAAACUCGGGCUAAUACCGCAUACGUUGGUAGGGUUGCGGCCUUGCCAAGAAAACUGGCCUCUAUUUAUAAGCUAGUACUCCCAGAGGAGCCCGCGGCUGAUUAGCUAGUUGGUAAGGUAAUGGCUUACCAAGGCGACGAUCAGUAGCCGGCCUGAGAGGGUGAUCGGCCACACUGGGACUGAGACACGGCCCAGACUCCUACGGGAGGCAGCAGUGGGGAAUAUUGGACAAUGGGCGCAAGCCUGAUCCAGCAACGCCGCGUGGAGGACGAAGGUCUUCGGAUCGUAAACUCCUGUCAGGUGGGACGAAGGUGCCUGGGUGAACAAUCCAGGUACUUGACGGUACUACCAGAGGAAGCCCCGGCUAACUCCGUGCCAGCAGCCGCGGUAAUACGGAGGGGGCGAGCGUUA